This 74-nucleotide ribosomal RNA is filed under the name Citrus trifoliata (trifoliate orange). RNAcentral describes it as "partial 5.8S ribosomal RNA". It matches the Rfam family "5.8S ribosomal RNA", at positions 86 to 154 of the family's 154-position model. Rfam says of the family: 5.8S ribosomal RNA (5.8S rRNA) is a component of the large subunit of the eukaryotic ribosome. It is transcribed by RNA polymerase I as part of the 45S precursor that also contains 18S and 28S rRNA. Functionally, it is thought that 5.8S rRNA may be involved in ribosome translocation. The record is from RNAcentral. Lineage: Eukaryota; Viridiplantae; Streptophyta; Magnoliopsida; Sapindales; Rutaceae.
GAACCAUCGAGUCUUUGAACGCAAGUUGCGCCCCAAGCCAUUAGGCCGAGGGCACGUCUGCCUGGGUGUCACGC